RNAcentral lists this ribosomal RNA (580 nucleotides) under uncultured fungus. Its description in RNAcentral is "eukaryotic LSU rRNA". The stretch from base 470 to 580 matches the Rfam family "Eukaryotic large subunit ribosomal RNA", at positions 1 to 112 of the family's 3401-position model. The record is from RNAcentral. Lineage: Eukaryota; Fungi.
UCUGACCGAGGUAAAACCCGUCGCUCUGUGUUACCUCUGAGGCACACGUUAAAGAUCGUUCCGCAUUGUGAGUCUAACACCAGUUGUAUAAACUUUUUACAACCGGUAGCGAUGGAUCCCUUGGCACGUCAUUCGAUGAAGACCGUUGCAAAUUGCGAUAAAGUGAUGUGAUGCGCAAGUCCACCACUUAUACGUGAAUCAUCGAGUUGUUGAACGCAUUGCACCGCGCCCUAAUCCGGCUGCGGUAUGCCCCUUUGAGCGUCAUUGUAUUCCUUCGGGAGUCCUUUUUACAAAGGACCCGAGUUCGGAGUCCUCGGUCCUCUGGAUCGUGUUCUCUUAGAUGCGUCGCACCGAUCGCCUGAUGGGUCUCUAAUGCCUAAGCGUGGAGUUCCUUCAGAGUCCGAGAGGUGCUUGACCGGGUGUUGAGCUCGCGUCACCAAGUCUGCCUCACAAGCAGUACUACAACGCAUGACCUCAUUGGGGUAGGACAACCCGCUAGACUUAAGCAUAUUAAUCAGCGGAGGAAAAGAAACUAACCAGGAUUCCCUCAGUAACUGCGAGUGAAGCGGGAUCGGCUCAA